UGGGGAAUAUUGGGCAAUGGAGGAAACUCUGACCCAGCAACGCCGCGUGGAGGAAGAAGGUUUUCGGAUCGUAAACUCCUGUCCUUGGAGACGAGUAGAAGACGGUAUCCAAGGAGGAAGCCCCGGCUAACUACGUGCCAGCAGCCGCGGUAAUACGUAGGGGGCAAGCGUUGUCCGGAAUAAUUGGGCGUAAAGGGCGCGUAGGCGGCUCGGUAAGUCUGGAGUGAAAGUCCUGCUUUUAAGGUGGGAAUUGCUUUGGAUACUGUCGGGCUUGAGUGCAGGAGAGGUUAGUGGAAUUCCCAGUGUAGCGGUGAAAUGCGUAGAGAUUGGGAGGAACACCAGUGGCGAAGGCGACUAACUGGACUGUAACUGACGCUGAGGCGCGAAAGUGUGGGGAGCAAACAGGAUUAGAUACCCUGGUAGUCCACAGUGUAAACGAUGAAUGCUAGGUGUAGGGGGUAUCGACCCCUUCUGUGCCGCAGUCAACACAAUAAGCAUUCCGCCUGGGGAGUACGGCCGCAAGGUUGAAACUCAAAGGAAUUGACGGGGGCCCGCACAAGCAGCGGAGCAUGUGGUUUAAUUCGACGCAACGCGAAGAACCUUACCAGGUCUUGACAUCCACUUAAACUUACAGAGAUGUAAGGUGUGCUUGCACAAAGUGAGACAGGUGGUGCAUGGUUGUCGUCAGCUCGUGUCGUGAGAUGUUGGGUUAAGUCCCGCAACGAGCGCAACCCUUAUCUUCAGUUACUAACGCGUAGAGGCGAGGACUCUGAAGAGACUGCCGGGGACAACUCGGAGGAAGGUGGGGACGACGUCAAAUCAUCAUGCCCCUUAUGACCUGGGCUACACACGUGCUACAAUGGCCACGACAGAGAGAAGCGAAAUCGUAAGGUAGAGCGGAACUCAAAAAAGUGGUCCCAGUUCGGAUUGUGGGCUGCAACCCGCCCACAUGAAGUCGGAGUUGCUAGUAAUCGCGGAUCAGCAUGCCGCGGUGAAUACGUUCCC
Molecule: ribosomal RNA, 1005 nt
Filed under: uncultured bacterium
Lineage: Bacteria
Description: bacterial SSU rRNA
Rfam family: Bacterial small subunit ribosomal RNA
Source: RNAcentral